UUAGAUAUUUUAAAUACAAAAAAUAUUCGCCAGAGAAUUACGAGCUAAACAUGCUUAAAACUCUAAGGACUUGGCGGUACCUCAAACCCACCUAGAGGAGCCUGUUCUAUAAUCGACAAUCCACGAUUCACCUCACCAUCUCUUGCCAACUCCGCCUAUAUACCGCCGUCACAGCUUACCUUAUGAAAGAUAAAAAGUAAGCAAAAUAAUCUAAAUAAUUAACAAAUCAGGUCAAGGUGUAGCUUACUGAGAUGGAAGAAAUGGGCUACAUUUUCUAUACUAGAAAUAACUACGGAAAGAUACCUUGAAACAGGUUCUAUAAGCAGGAUUUAGCAGUAAACUGGGAAAAGAGAGCCCAA
RNAcentral lists this ribosomal RNA (359 nucleotides) under Kinosternon acutum (Tabasco mud turtle). RNAcentral's name for it is "partial 12S ribosomal RNA". It matches the Rfam family "Bacterial small subunit ribosomal RNA", at positions 875 to 1361 of the family's 1533-position model. Lineage: Eukaryota; Metazoa; Chordata; Testudines; Kinosternidae. The record is from RNAcentral.